Molecule: ribosomal RNA, 509 nt
Filed under: uncultured bacterium
Lineage: Bacteria
Description: bacterial SSU rRNA
Rfam family: Bacterial small subunit ribosomal RNA
Source: RNAcentral
CUGGCUCAGGAUGAACGCUAGCUACAGGCUUAACACAUGCAAGUCGAGGGGCAGCAUUGGGAUAGCUUGCUAUUCAGAUGGCGACCGGCGCACGGGUGAGUAACGCGUAUCCAACCUUCCUGCCAGUAGGGAACAGCCCGGCGAGAGUCGGAUUAAUGCCCUAUGUUCUUCAAUGCGGACAUCUAAGUUGAAGGAAAGAUUCAUCGCUGGCAGAUGGGGAUGCGUCCGAUUAGCUUGCCGGCGGGUAACGGCCCACCGGGGCGACGAUCGGUAGGGGUUCUGAGAGGAAGGUCCCCCACACUGGUACUGAGACACGGACCAGACUCCUACGGGAGGCAGCAGUGAGGAAUAUUGGUCAAUGGGCGUAAGCCUGAACCAGCCAAGUAGCGUGCAGGAAUGACGGCCCUACGGGUUGUAAACUGCUUUUAUGCGGGGAUAAAGUGCGGCACGUGUGCCGCUUUGCAGGUACCGCAUGAAUAAGGACCGGCUAAUUCCGUGCCAGCAGCCGC